This 590-nucleotide unclassified non-coding RNA is filed under the name Hevea brasiliensis (rubber tree). Lineage: Eukaryota; Viridiplantae; Streptophyta; Magnoliopsida; Malpighiales; Euphorbiaceae. The record is from RNAcentral.
CCUACUUGAAAGGUCAGAAGUAUAUCUUUUUAUUUUCCUUUUCUGCAAUGGCAAACAAAAAAUUUUAGUCAGAUCUCUGCCAUAAAAUCUUUUGUUGAUUUUAGUAAAAGAAUGUGUUUGAGCCAUGCCCUGCUCCAUACUUGCAAGUAGUUUGGACGUGGGACCUUGUUGAUGUUCAUCUGCUUGAAAUUCUGAUUCCAGUUCACAUACAACCUCAUUAUUUUUGCAGAUAACUGUUUCUGAAUCACUACUUUUAUACUACUCUCAACAAUCUAUUUUAGAAUUCCUUUCUCUCCUGCCAUAGUAGGAUAUUUAAGCGUUUGUUUGGAAUUAGCCUUAUGAUAUAAAUAUUUUAGAAAAAUAUUUUUAGAAGUAGGAGUUUGCAAAUAUAAUAUAGGAUGAUCAUAGAAAGAAGAUAGCUACAAAUUUGCAGUCUUAUAAAUUUGGAGCGAAGAGGUACAAAGUGCUGCUGACAUAUAUGGCCCUUGAAUGUAAUGAGUUGCUAGUCUGACAUUUCUAACUUUUGCUUUGAUCCCAAGGUUUUGACUGAGCUGAAUUUAUUUAUUUUGUUUUCUUUUCCUUUCUUUUUU